This 495-nucleotide ribosomal RNA is filed under the name uncultured bacterium. RNAcentral's name for it is "partial 16S ribosomal RNA". It matches the Rfam family "Bacterial small subunit ribosomal RNA", at positions 28 to 507 of the family's 1533-position model. The record is from RNAcentral.
GACGAACGCUGGCGGCGUGCCUAAUACAUGCAAGUAGAACGCUGAAGGAGGAGCUUGCUCUUCUGGAUGAGUUGCGAACGGGUGAGUAACGCGUAGGUAACCUGCCUGGUAGCGGGGGAUAACUAUUGGAAACGAUAGCUAAUACCGCAUAAGAGUAGAUGUUGCAUGACAUUUGCUUAAAAGGUGCAAUUGCAUCACUACCAGAUGGACCUGCGUUGUAUUAGCUAGUUGGUGGGGUAACGGCUCACCAAGGCGACGGUACAUAGCCGACCUGAGAGGGUGGUCCGCCACAAUGGGAAUGAGACAACGCCCAGAAUCCUACGGGAGGCAGCAGUAGGGAAUCUUCGGCAAUGGACGGAAGUCUGACCGAGCAACGCCGCGUGAGUGAAGAAGGUUUUCGGAUCGUAAAGCUCUGUUGUAAGAGAAGAACGAGUGUGAGAGUGGAAAGUUCACACUGUGACGGUAUCUUAACAGAAAGGGACGGCUAACUACGUG